AUUGAACGCUGGCGGCAGGCCUAACACAUGCAAGUCGAGCGGUAGCACAGAGAGCUUGCUCUCGGGUGACGAGCGGCGGACGGGUGAGUAAUGUCUGGGAAACUGCCUGAUGGAGGGGGAUAACUACUGGAAACGGUAGCUAAUACCGCAUAACGUCGCAAGACCAAAGUGGGGGACCUUCGGGCCUCAUGCCAUCAGAUGUGCCCAGAUGGGAUUAGCUAGUAGGUGGGGUAACGGCUCACCUAGGCGACGAUCCCUAGCUGGUCUGAGAGGAUGACCAGCCACACUGGAACUGAGACACGGUCCAGACUCCUACGGGAGGCAGCAGUGGGGAAUAUUGCACAAUGGGCGCAAGCCUGAUGCAGCCAUGCCGCGUGUGUGAAGAAGGCCUUCGGGUUGUAAAGCACUUUCAGCGGGGAGGAAGGCGUUAAGGUUAAUAACCUUGGCGAUUGACGUUACCCGCAGAAGAAGCACCGGCUAACUCCGUGCCAGCAGCCGCGGUAAUACGGAGGGUGCAAGCGUUAAUCGGAAUUACUGGGCGUAAAGCGCACGCAGGCGGUCUGUCAAGUCGGAUGUGAAAUCCCCGGGCUCAACCUGGGAACUGCAUUCGAAACUGGCAGGCUAGAGUCUUGUAGAGGGGGGUAGAAUUCCAGGUGUAGCGGUGAAAUGCGUAGAGAUCUGGAGGAAUACCGGUGGCGAAGGCGGCCCCCUGGACAAAGACUGACGCUCAGGUGCGAAAGCGUGGGGAGCAAACAGGAUUAGAUACCCUGGUAGUCCACGCCGUAAACGAUGUCGAUUUGGAGGUUGUGCCCUUGAGGCGUGGCUUCCGGAGCUAACGCGUUAAAUCGACCGCCUGGGGAGUACGGCCGCAAGGUUAAAACUCAAAUGAAUUGACGGGGGCCCGCACAAGCGGUGGAGCAUGUGGUUUAAUUCGAUGCAACGCGAAGAACCUUACCUGGUCUUGACAUCCACAGAACUUUCCAGAGAUGGAUUGGUGCCUUCGGGAACUGUGAGACAGGUGCUGCAUGGCUGUCGUCAGCUCGUGUUGUGAAAUGUUGGGUUAAGUCCCGCAACGAGCGCAACCCUUAUCCUUUGUUGCCAGCGGUUAGGCCGGGAACUCAAAGGAGACUGCCAGUGAUAAACUGGAGGAAGGUGGGGAUGACGUCAAGUCAUCAUGGCCCUUACGACCAGGGCUACACACGUGCUACAAUGGCAUAUACAAAGAGAAGCGACCUCGCGAGAGCAAGCGGACCUCAUAAAGUAUGUCGUAGUCCGGAUUGGAGUCUGCAACUCGACUCCAUGAAGUCGGAAUCGCUAGUAAUCGUAGAUCAGAAUGCUACGGUGAAUACGUUCCCGGGCCUUGUACACACCGCCCGUCACACCAUGGGAGUGGGUUGCAAAAGAAGUAGGUAGCUUAACCUUCGGGAGGGCGCUUACCACUUUGUGAUUCAUGACUGGGGUGA
RNAcentral lists this ribosomal RNA (1463 nucleotides) under uncultured Klebsiella sp. Its description in RNAcentral is "bacterial SSU rRNA". It matches the Rfam family "Bacterial small subunit ribosomal RNA". Lineage: Bacteria; Pseudomonadati; Pseudomonadota; Gammaproteobacteria; Enterobacterales; Enterobacteriaceae. The record is from RNAcentral.